AAUGGGCGCAAGCCUGAUCCAGCGAUGCCGCGUGGAUGAUGAAGGCCCUAGGGUUGUAAAGUCCUUUCGAUGGUGAAGAUAAUGACGGUAACCAUUAAAGAAGCCCCGGCUAAUUUCGUGCCAGCAGCCGCGGUAAUACGAAAGGGGCAAGCGUUGUUCGGAAUUACUGGGCGUAAAGCGCGCGUAGGCGGCAUGCCAAGUUGGGGGUGAAAUCCCGGAGCUCAACUCCGGAACUGCCUCCAAAACUGGCAAGCUAGAGGAUGUGAGAGGAUAGUGGAAUUCCGAGUGUAGAGGUGAAAUUCGUAGAUAUUCGGAAGAACACCAGUGGCGAAGGCGACUGUCUGGCGCAUUUCUGACGCUGAGGUGCGAAAGCGUGGGGAGCGAACAGGAUU
Molecule: ribosomal RNA, 392 nt
Filed under: uncultured Gammaproteobacteria bacterium
Lineage: Bacteria; Pseudomonadati; Pseudomonadota; Gammaproteobacteria
Description: bacterial SSU rRNA
Rfam family: Bacterial small subunit ribosomal RNA
Source: RNAcentral